This is a long non-coding RNA of Dreissena polymorpha, 660 nucleotides long. RefSeq lists it as uncharacterized. The transcript is spliced from 3 exons. The record is from RefSeq and is a predicted model, not a curated record. Lineage: Eukaryota; Metazoa; Mollusca; Bivalvia; Myida; Dreissenidae.
GCAGAAAAAUCUGCUUUAAUGGAAUUGUUGAAUUAUAUUUAAUUUUAGUAAAAUAAUUAUGUAAAAGCCUUCAGCUCAUUUCAAAAUUAUUCUCUUCAUUUAUUUUUAAUAUUUAUUUAAAUUCCUGGAUUUUGUUUUAAGAGCCUGUUCCUUCAGGAACCCAUGCAAUCAAAGAUCGGUACCUAGCUGAACAACAGGCUGUCUGGUCAGCUGGGCCCAGACGCCCAGUGACACUUCCUGGCCCAUGACCUUGGGGCAAAUGCUCAACUAGUCCUACCCGCAGGGUGGAGCCACACUGAACCUGGGGCUCCAUACUUUCUUGGCCAGGGGCCAAGAUAACCUCGUCAAUAAGGGACACAUUCCUGGGAUGCCCUAAGGUCUUUCUAUCUGUUCACAGAGGUCUUAUACUCACAAGUUCAAGCCCAGUGAGCGAUGUUCACAUUAUCAAACUCUGCAUCUCAAUAGAAACCCUGAUAGCAAAGCGUUGGUUUGUUUUUGAAGCAUUUGAACCAGCAACAGUCAUCAUUGGAGUUUCUGGCAUGUCUAUGGUGUGGAACCCUCAGUCUAUGAACAUCAUAACAGUACAUGAACCAGCAGCAGUCAUCAUCUCAAGAUUCUGGUAUAUCCAAGGUACAGGACCCUUGGUCUGUACAGAUCUUG